This 716-nucleotide ribosomal RNA is filed under the name uncultured bacterium. Its description in RNAcentral is "bacterial SSU rRNA". It matches the Rfam family "Bacterial small subunit ribosomal RNA", at positions 771 to 1501 of the family's 1533-position model. The record is from RNAcentral.
AACAGGAUUAGAUACCCUGGUAGUCCACGCCGUAAACGAUGCUAACUCGUUUUUGGGCUUUCGGGUUCAGAGACUAAGCGAAAGUGAUAAGUUAGCCACCUGGGGAGUACGUUCGCAAGAAUGAAACUCAAAGGAAAUGACGGGGGCCCGCACAAGCGGUGGAUUAUGUGGUUUAAUUCGAUGAUACGCGAGGAACCUUUCCAAGGCUUAAAUGGGAAUUGACAGACGCAGAAAUGUGUUUUUCUUCGGACAAUUUUCAAGGUGCUGCAUGGUUGUCGUCAGCUCGUGCCGUGAGGUGUUAGGUUAAGUCCUGCAACGAGCGCAACCCCUGUUACUAGUUGCUACCAUUAAGUUGAGGACUCUAGUAAGACUGCCUACGCAAGUAGAGAGGAAGGUGGGGAUGACGUCAAAUCAUCACGGCCCUUACGCCUUGGGCCACACACGUAAUACAAUGGCCGGUACAGAGGGCAGCUACCUAGCGAUAGGAUGCGAAUCUCGAAAGCCGGUCUCAGUUCGGAUUGGAGUCUGCAACUCGACUCUAUGAAGCUGGAAUCGCUAGUAAUCGCGCAUCAGCCAUGGCGCGGUGAAUACGUUCCCGGGCCUUGUACACACCGCCCGUCAAGCCAUGGAAGUCUGGGGUACCUGAAGUCGGUGACCGUAACAGGAGCUGCCUAGGGUAAAACAGGUAACUAGGGCUAAGUCGUAACAAGGUAACC